This 31156-nucleotide long non-coding RNA is filed under the name Physcomitrium patens. RNAcentral's name for it is "long non-coding RNA (PPAT_LNC000439)". Lineage: Eukaryota; Viridiplantae; Streptophyta; Bryopsida; Funariales; Funariaceae. The record is from RNAcentral.
ACUGAAUGAUGCGCCUUGCAAUUGCCGCAGGGGAGUGUUCCUCUUCAAUCAGUGCUGCAUGGUUUUUAGGCUGGUGCUUCUGUCCAUUGCCGGGUGAAGCUUUUCCUAAUCUAGGCUGAUUUAUUGUAACCUUAUUAUAAAUUUAGAAAUGGGACAUUAGAAAACAGAAAGUCGAUGAAAUCACGAGUACCAAAAGAGUUCGGAUGUGGAAAUGUGGAAUAUGUCAUAAGGUUGAUAUCCAAAGAUCCAUCACUUUGAACAUCCAAAGAUUUUCAAAGUGAGAACAAUGAAUGAUAGAAUUGUAAGAUGUGUGUUGAGAUCAUUAAAUGGAGCUGGCGCUUUCCAUAAUAUUUACUGUAGACUACAUUAAAUACCAUAGCUACAAUAUUUGGAGUCUAGCGGAGAAGCAUUGUUCAUCGUGUUCUCUUUUUUGUUCUUAUAUACGAGACAGUAUCAAAUGAAUAGAUUUUUAUGUGUGAAGCUCUGUCUCCUUAGAAACCCUCUUGUGUGUAUGACUUAAUACUACUCUUGUGUGUGUGUAUGAUUAACUCUUACUUUUGUGUCUUUCUAAAUAUUCUCAACACAUUAUCAUCACAACUCUCUUCUACACACUAUCACAAAUUUUUUUGCUCUAGUCUUAACUCUUCAAACUUGUUGCUACUCUUGCUUAGUGUCUGCCUCAUGAUCUUGUUCUUCUUACUGGCCCCUCACACAUUAGCUGCUUGUUUAGAGCACUUGUUCCACUCUCUCCCUUGCUUGCUUAGAAUACUUGUUUAGAAUACUUCAUCCAGUCCAACUCCACCCCAACUUGCUCCUUGCUCCCUGUUGCACUCCAGGUUUAGCCUAAUGCCGAACUACCGCCAAACAGCUGCCAAAUUACUGCCGAACCCGCCACUGCCCCUACUGCUACCAUGUGGCUCGUCGCCGUUGUUGUCUACUGCCACCUUGCCGCCCUACUACUGCUUAUUGCUAUUCUACUGCCAUCUUAUUGCUAUUCUACUGCCUUAUUUUAAACCCCCUAAAAUAUAUAUAUAUAUAUAUAUAUAUAUAUUUGUUUUUUUUUCAAGUUCAAGUUUAUUAUUUUAUUUGACUUAAUAUUUUAAGAUACGUUUUAUUCAACUUUUCUACUUAAUCUUGUAUUUUCUUUACAAAUUUAUUUAUAAUGAGUGCUUCAACAUCUUCAACUACUUCUACUAUGAUUCCAACUACUACUAAUACAUCCCAACAUUUUCAAGCUCUUUUAUUUCCACCAUUGACUGUGGAUGGAAACAAUUAUCUAUUAUGGGUAAAAAUGGCAAAGGCAUAUUUAUUUGCGAAACAACUCUCAGAUGCCAUUAUGUUUGAAGAAUCUCCUACAAUAAGUAUUUCUAUACCUCCUGCUAUUCAUUGGAAAGCACUUCUUCUCCUUCGUUGUCAUCUUGUACCUGCAUUACAACAUCAAUAUUUGAAAAUAGAAAAUCCUGCAGAACUUUGGAAGAAUCUUAAAUCCAAGUUUGAUCAUCAAAAGACCAUUUUUCUUCCACGUGCACGUCAUAAUUGGACACAUUUACGUGUCUUAGAUUUUCCAAAUUUAAAUACUUUCAAUAGUGAAAUGUAUAGUAUUGUCUCACAAUUACGAUUAUAUGGACAAAGCAUUUCUAAAGAAGAAAUGAUUGAGAAAAUUCUCUCUACAUUUCCUCCUGUAUUUGCUGUGCUUGCACAACAAUACAGGAACAUGAAAUUUCAGAGUCAUUCUGAUCUCAUGUCCUAUCUACUUCUUCCGGAGAAGCAAAAUGACCUACUCUUGCACAAUGCGGAAGCUCGUCUUAUUGGAACUAUAGUUCCUGAAUCUCAUGCACUUAAUAUUUCAAAGUCUAAGAAGAAAUUAUAUAAACAUGGGAAACGUGGUCAUAAGUAUGAGGGUAGACAUAGUUAUGACCAUUUCUAUCCAUAUGGAAAGAAUAAACGUUCUACUAUUAAUUAUAGUAGAAAAUAAAAAUCAGAGAUGUCUUCUUGCCAUAAGUGUGGAAUGAUUGGACAUUUAGUACAUGCGUGCCAUACUUCAAAAUAUUUUAUUAAAAUGUUCCAAAAAAAUAAGAAAUUGCGAGCUGAGGCUCAUGAAGUUCAUACCAUGGAUGCAUCCAUGGAUUCAAUUGGUGUUGAUGACUUAGAAGCUUAUAUGAAUGAUAGAACCUCUAAUGAUGAAUCAAAUAAUGUGCUCAUUGAUUCUGCAACAAUACAUACUAUCUUGCGAAAUAGACGAUUUUUUAUUGAAAAAUCUUCAACUUGGCAAACUAAAAAUAUGAUGACCAUGGUUGGAGCAAAUACGUUUUGUUUCUAAGAAGGCACAACGAUAGUAAAAUUACCUGCAGAUUCUAUUAUAAAAUGUAAACAUGCGAUGUUUGCACCCUAAGCACCUCAGAGUCUGAUCAGCUACCAAGAUAUGCGUAUUAAUGGUUAUCAUCUCUCGAUUGCCACUUUAAAUAGAAAAGAGGUUUUGGUUCUUGCAAAGAACCAGAAAGUUGUUGAAAAAGCUUUUACUACAGAAAAUGGUUGAUAUCGAAUUGUGAUUCGGCCUCCUAUCAUAUUUAAUUUUACAUCAUCUAUUACAGAAAGUCGUGUUUCUCUCUGGCAUGGACGAUUGAGACAUCCAAGAUCUACAUUAUUUAGAAAGAUAAUUCCAUGUAUAACUGGGCAUAAUUUAAAGCAUGCAGAUAUAGACUCUAUGGAAUUAUGUCGUGAAUGUAUGUAAGAUAAAAUGAUUACUCAGCCCUCAAUUUAGAAACUUCCACAAGAAUUACCACCAAUGCUUGAAAGAUUGCAUGGUGAUAUUUGUGGUCCUAUUAAUCCAAUAUGAAGACCAUUUCGUUAUUUUUUGGUCCUUGUUGAUGCAUCAAGUAAACAAUCACAUGUUUCAUUAUUAUCAACUCGAAACAUGGUGUUUGCCAAUCUUAUAUCUAUGCUUAUUUGUUUUUGGUCAUAUUUUCCUGAUUAUCCUAUAAAAACAUUGUGUAUGGAUAAUGCAAAAGAAUUCACAUCAAAGUCUUUUGAAGACUAUUGUAGUGCAAUAAGAAUCGAGUUGACAUAUUGUGUUCCAUAUGAACAUGCUCAAAAUGGACUUGCAGAGUCAUUUAUAAAGCAUAUAGGACUCAUUACACGGCCACUCCUCCUUCACGCAAAUUUAACUACAUCUAUGUGGGAUCAUGUAGUUUUACAUGCUGCUGCAUUAAUAUGCCUCUCCCCUUUUUCUCUUAAAAUUGUUUCACCACAUGAACUCAUUUCGGGUCGUAUUCCAAAUGUAUCUCACUUACAAGUAUUUGAUUACCGUACUUGGAUUCCAAUACCAGAACUUCAACGGUGUACCAUUAGAGUUCAUCGACAAGAAGGCAUAUAUGUUGGUUUUGAUUCACCAAGCAUUAUUCAUAUUGUUGAUCCAUCAACUCACACAUUAUUAUGUACACCUUUGCAAAAUUUUUGUUUUGAAGAAAAUGUAUUCCCAUCUCUUCAAAGAUGAGUAUCCAAUCAACAAAGAAAUAAAGUAUUCAUAUUUGAUGUACUAGAAACGUUCCUAUGUCACGGACAUACUUAUAUAAGCUAAUAAUUACAUAUACAAAUAGGUGGAAGUAAAUAAAAGUAAGUAAAAAUAAGUUCAUUCUAUAGUAUUUAAUAUGGAAGCUUCCUAGAAGCUUCAUAGACAUUGCUUUGACUUCAUAGGUAUCUUUAAUUGACUUUUCUCAAUUAGAAAUGUGGUCAACAAGUUGGCCAUGUGUCACACAUAUUGUUAACUUGAAGAUCAAGCUAACUAUGCGGCCCACACAUAGAAAAACUUGCCUUAUAAGUCAAGGCAUGUGUCCUACAAAGUCAACACAUAUUGGAGGUCCUAUAGAACAUCGCCACGUAGUCCCUAGUUGGAUAGUAUAUAUAGAGACAAGAGUGAAGCCUUCUUCACUCUUGUCAACUCUUUUCUUGCUCCCAGCCUAGUUUCAAGAGUCUUCAUGUUUUCUAGUCUUUGGCAAUAGUCAUUUCAUUUUCUCUUUCAAUAUACAUACUUGUUUAUUUAUAUUUUGUUACCUUUCUUUGAGUGAAGGCUCACUUGUCAGAAUUGCUUUUCAUCGAGUUCUUAUCUUUGACAGAUUGACAAGAGUACACCUACAAUAUCAGAGCUUUGUCUAAUCUUGAUUAAGAAUGGAUUACUCCUUUUUUUUGAUAAGAUAUAACCAUAUUAGAAGUUGCGGAUUACCCUCUUCUAAACUGAUAUUGUCUUUAGUAUUUUUUUUGUUCUCAAGUCCUCUCUUCUAUUUGUCUUGAGCAAUAUUAGACAUCUUCUCUUUUCUAAGUGUUAUCAUGGCAGAACUUGUUGAAAUGAAGAAUGCAAUGGCACAAAUGUAAGAGCAAUUGUAGAAGUUAAUGCUUGCAAUACAUCAAUUCAAUUUACCACCUCAAGGAGCAAUAAGAUUGGCAGGAAGUGAAGACAUAGAAAUGGUUGAAGCUGCUUCAACAUCUGCACCAAACCAUGUCUUUUCUCCUAUGGUGGAACGCCCUUCCAGUAUUAGAGAACUAAGAAUUGUCCUACCCAAGAAGUUUGAUGGCACCAGAUCCAAGUUUCGAGGAUUUAUCAAUUAAGUGCAACUUGUGAUUGAACUUCAACCCCAAAGCUAUCCAACUCCAGGAUCGCAAGUUAGAUUCAUUGGUACGCUUCUUUUAGAUUCAGCACUAUCGUGGUUUUCAUUUUUUCUUAAACGACGAGAUUCAAUAUUGGAUAAUCUAGAGGCUUUUCUGGCAGAGUUUCGAUCCAUGUAUGGAGAACAUGAUGUAAUUUGUAUUGCAACCAAUAAGAUCUGUAUUUUACGAUAAGACAAUCGAUCAGUAACAUUGUAUGCUUUAAAAUUUUGACAACUUGUAACUGAUAUCAAGUGGGAUGAUGUUGCACUUAUUAGCCAAUUUCUCUAUGGAUUACAAUAUGAGGUAAAAAAAUUAAUGCUCAACUUAUCUGAUCCUCAAACAUUGAGUCAACCAAUUGACUUUGCUGUGAAGUGCAACAAUCGCCUUUUUGAAUUCUGAUCUGAGAACCGUAUAAGUGGACCUCAACGUUACUAUAAUUCAAUGGCAACACCAACACCUCUUCAACACAUACAUUCGGAAGUAGAAGAUAUGCAAAUUGAUGCAGUACGUUUCAAACCUCUUACUCAAUAAGAAAAGACUUGUCGUCGUCAAGAAGGAUUAUGUUUAUAUUGUAGAGAACCAAAGCACACUGCUCAACAUUGUCCAAAGAAAUGACGCAAUCACAAAAUGAGGAGUAUGGCUGUGAAAGAAGAUAAUAUGUUGGAAAACGAGUUUGUUCAGCUACAAUAGGGACCGUGUGACUGGAACCUUGCACAAUAUCUAGUAAAGGUCCUAUUCUCUCCUCAGAGCCCUGUCCUUGUUUUACAUUAAAUGUUAUUUUAGGACCUAAAUAUUACAAAGUCUCUGCUUUGUUAGAUUCAAGAACCUCUGCAUAUUUUUUAGAUGAAGAAUUUACUAAAAGACAUGGCAUAUCUUUAGUAAAGAAAACUAAACCUGUUCAUGUAGAAGUCAUAGAUAGUCGUCCAUUGUCUUUCGGAGAUAUUACUCACGAAACCCUUUCUAUAGAAAUAAUAAUCAAUGGUCAUAAUAGUUUUGUAGUAUUUAAUAUCAUUAGAUUUCCCUCUAAUCCAAUAAUUUUAGAUUUAUUGUGGUUAGAAAAAUACAACCCUCAAAUAGAUUGGAUUUCUCGAACUCUUACUUUCUCUAAAAGUAUAACUAACAGUGUAGUUAAUCAAGUAGAGAGUCAUAAGUCCAGUUCAAUUAAACUCAUAUUUAUAGGUGUAAAAGCUUUCUUGCAUACUGGUAUGAAAGAAUUACCAUGUAUUAUUUGUACCACAUAUGUUUCUACUGGUGAAAAGACUUCAAGUAGCAUUCCUAGCCAAUAUCAAGAAUUUCAAGAUGUAUUCGAAAAAAAAAAUGCAAAUACACUCCCGAAACAUCGUCCCUAUGAUUGCUCAAUUGACCUUCAAGAAGGAGCACAACCACCAUUCGGACCAAUCUACAGUUUAUCACAAAAUGAGUUGACCGAACUCAAGGAGUAUAUUGAAGAAAAUCUAGCCAAGAAUUUCAUACGCCAUUCUAAAUCUCCGGCAAGAGCUCUAAUUCUAUUUGUGAAGAAAAAAGAUGGAUCAUUGCAGAUGUGUGUUGAUUAUCGAGGACUCAAAAAGAUUACUAUCAAGAACAAGUAUCCACUACCUUUAAUAUCUGGACUUCUUGAUCAGCUGAAUCAAGCUAAGAUCUAUACAAAAAUAGAUCUUUGAGGAGCAUACAAUCUAGUACGCAUCAAAGAAGGGGAUGAAUGGAAGACUGCGUUUCGAACUAGGUAUGGAUAUUUUGAAUACAACGUCAUGCCUUUUGGACUUACAAAUGCACCAGCAGCUUUUCAACAUCUAAUGAAUGAUGUUUUUUGAGAGUUUUUGGACGAUUUUAUGGUCUGUUAUCUAGACGACAUCUUGAUCUAUUCUAAGAAUUUAGAAGGACAUGAACUUCAUGUUCGUCAUGUGUUACAAAAAUUAAGAGAUGCAGGACUCUAUGCCAAAAUAGAAAAGUAUGUAUACCACACUACUCAAGUCGAUUUCUUAGGUUACAUCAUUUCAAAUGAUGGAAUUAUGAUGGAUCCUAAGAAAGUUCAAACUAUAAUAGAUUGGAAGAUUCCAAAAACGGUAAGAGGUGUCCAAUGUUUUUUGGGAUUUGCCAACUACUAUCGAAUCUUCAUGAAGGACUUCUCUCGAGUUGUAGCUCCACUAACUUGUUUGACUUGUAAAGACAAACUUCAAUGGAAUCAAGAAGCGGAAGUUACUUUUGAAUCUUUGAAGACAUCGUUUGUUUGUGCACCAAUCUUGUAUUGUGUUGAUUUUUCGAAAGCAUUAUUUAUGGAAACAGAUGCAUGAAACUUUGCUCUAGGUGCGGUUUUAUCACAAAUGGGAACAGAUGACAAACUUCAUCCAGUAUCCUUUCAUUCAAGAAAAUUCUCAGUAGCAGAAAUCAAUUAUGAGAUCCACGACAAAGAACUUCUUGCAAUCAUGGAUUCUUUUCAAGAACAGCUUCAUUAUCUAGAAGGCGCUUCCAGUCUAGUCACCAUGUAUACGGAUCACAAGAACCUCGAGUAUUUUAUAUCAGCACGCAUAUUAAAUCAUCGUCAAGCUCGUUGGAGCAUGUCUUUAUGAAGAUUCGAGUUCAUUAUCACUUAUCGGCCAGGAAAACAACAAGGUUUGUCCGAUGCCUUGUCUAAACGUUCUUAUCUUGCACCAAAAGAAGGAGAUGCAGCUUUUGAGUAACAAAGAAUGGUUCUCUUGAAGCCGGAGCAAUUUCAUCUUCAAGCAAUAAAAUCAACAUUGACUGUUGAUUUAACUUUUCUUAAGCAAGUCUAGUUAAGUAUGUCUUCAGACCCUCUUGUUCAUGAUAUCAAGAAUAAUUCUUCUAAAUCUCAUGAUCGCUCUAAAUUUGAAUUCAAGAACAACCUACUCUAUUUCGAAGGACGCCUAUAUGUUGCAGAAGGAGAAGCACGUUUACGUAUUCUUCAAGCUCGUCACGAAUUUCCAACAGCAGGACAUUUUGGAUAUAAUAAGACUUUGGAGCUGAUAUCUAAGGAUUUUUGGUGGCCUCAAAUGUGGAAGGCAGUCAAAGAUUUUGUACAAUCAUGUGAUGUUUGCUUAAGAUCAAAAAUUCCUCGUCAUCGAUCUUUAGGACUUCUUCAGCCAUUACCCAUUCCAAAACAACCAUGGUCUUCUGUUUUGAUGGAUUUCAUCACGGAUCUUCUAAUCUCAGGUUCUUAUGACUCUAUAUUCGUGAUAGUAGAUCAUUUUACGAAGAUGGCAUAUUUUGUACCAUGUACAAAGUCUAUCACAGGUGAAGAAACAACUAAGCUUUUUCUUGAUAAUAUCUAUCGCUAUCAUCGAAUACCCAAGGAUAUUAUAUCAGAUAGGGAAACAUAAUUUGUAUCAAGAUUUUGGCAGACUCUUUUUAAGAUUCUUAAAGUGGAUAUAAAACUAUCUUCGGUAUUCCAUCCUCAAACUGAUGGACAAACGGAGCAUGUUAAUCAAGUUUUGGAGCAAUAUUUAAGAUGUACCAUUAAUUACCAACAAGAUGAUUGGAAAACUCUUUUGCCAUUGGCAGAGUUUGCUGACAAUAACACGGUACAAUCUUCUACAAAACAAACACCUUUCUUUGCUAAUUAUGGUUAUCAUCUACGACUUGAUACUUUUGACUUUUCAAAAGUUGAUAAUCCUGCUGCAAAAGAUUUGGCGAUUCAUUUAUCAGAGGUACAUACAACGAUGAAGGCGCAGUUAAAAGAAGCUCAAGAACAACAAAAGGUCAAUGCGGAUGUCUAUCAAAAAGAACAACCACCAUUCCUCUUGGGUGAUAAGGUAUGGCUACUUUGUCGCAAUAUCAAGACCACUCGUCUUUGUGACAAAUUGGACUAUCAAAGACUUGGACCAUUUUCUAUUUCUGCACAAAUCAAUCCAGUUGCAUAUCAUUUACAUCUACCGGAGUCAAUGAAAAUCCAUCCAAUAUUCCAUGUGUCUCUUCUAGAACUAUAUAAGACAGUGGACAUACCAAGAAGACAACAAGCUCUACCUCCUCCUAUAGAAGUGGACAAUAAUGAAGAGUUUGAAGUAGAAGAAGUCUUAGAUUCAAAGCGGCGUCGAAAUAAAUUAGAAUAUCUUGUCCAUUGGCGCGGAUAUGAUAUUAGUGAAUGCACAUAGGAGCCAAUAAAGAAUCUUGCAAAUGCAGCAAAGGCGGUGGAGGCUUUUCAUCGACGACAUCUAUCAAAAUCAAGAUGAAAACCUUCGUUAUAAAAGAAACAACAUCUAGGCAAGAUAACAUUCUACUUUCAAUCUUUGUUUGUAGCUUCUUUGUAGUAAUGAUGCUUAGGAGAUGGAGAAUCAACAACUAGCGGAUUCGACUCAAGAACCUUCAUUUGCUAACCUGCCAGACGAGACAUUACAAUUGAUACAACCUCCAAGACGACGCAAUCAAGAUGAAGAUCUUCAAGAAUGACAUGUUCUUUUUCGAAUAGAUGGCGAGAUACAACGCGUUUGGUAUCACGAUUUGGGAAGGGAAUCUCGAUGUUUGGUGAUUUUGCUAGAGGUAGGAACAACUCCUGAUGGUGUUCCAAAUGUUCUAUUUGAAGGAAGUUAUGAAGGCCUCAACAAUGAUCAAAUAACUGGGUGGUCUUCCCGCCCUGGUAUGAGACACUACCGAUGGUUGAGAGGCCCUAUCAAUAAUCUUCGAUGAGAACAAAGAUCAGAGUAUGUGGCAAAUACAAUUUGUUGCAUCAUAGAUUUCCUCAACAUAUGAUGACCGCUCCUCGUGGAACUCGUCCCUAGAAGGGAGGGUAAUGUCACAGACAUACUUAUAUAAGCUAAUAAUUACAUAUAUAAAUAGGUAAAAGUAAGUAAAAAUAAGUAAAAGUAAGUUAAUUCUAUAGUAUUUAAUAUAAAAGCUUUCUAGAAGCUUCAUAGACGUUGCUUUGACUUCAUAGGUGUCUUUAAUUGACUUUUCUCGAUUAGAAAUGUGGUCAACAAGUUGGCCAUGUGCCACACAUAUUGUUAACUUGAAGAUCAAGCUAACUAUGUGGCCCACACAUAGAAAAACUUGCCUUGUAAGUCAAGGUAUGUGUCCUACAAAGUCAACACAUAUUGGAGGUCCUAUAGAACGUCGCCAUGUAGUCCCUAGUUGGAUAGUAUAUAUAGAGACAAGAGUGAAGCCUUCUUCACUCUUGUCAACUCUUUUCUUGCUCCCAGCCUAGUUUCAAGAGUCUUCAUGUUUUCUAGUCUUUGGCAAUAGCCAUUUCAGUUUCUCUUUCAAUAUACAUACUUAUUUAUUUAUAUUUUGUUACCUUUCUUUGAGUGAAGGCUCACUUGUCAGAAUUACUUUUCAUCGAGUUCUUGUCCUUGACAUCCUAGGACAACUUUGGUAGAAACUGAAGUUGCUAAGAUUUUGCAUCUUAAGCGGAUCGUGGAUGAAACACCUAUUGACUUCAAUGAUGCACCUAGAAUUACAAGAAUUCCUAUUAAUGAGGCUGAAAACGGACUUGCUCAAAUUGCAAUGCCAUUGAUUACAAUACCUCAAGUUAUAACAACAACAACUAAAAGAACUCGUGGAUCAGAUAAGCAACCACGUAAGAAAAAAGCUAUAAAAUUAACUAAUCUUGGUAUUAUUUCUCAAGAAAUUGCGACUCAUCUUACAGGACUACUAAUUCAUGAUGAUAUAUCCAUGCAUAAUGUACCUUCAAUUCCUAUGAAAAACAAUCUUAGAAUUGGAAGGAAUAAGAAGAAGUUGAGUAAAGAAUUAUCUAUUUUGUAUUAUGCUACAGAUGAUAUUUGGGACAGACCAUCUAUUACGAUAGAUGAAUCAGUUGUACAUAUGAUUAUAGAAGCCCUUUCUUACGAGGAAGACGAUCCUAAACCUCAAACCAUCAAGGAAGCGAUGUGUCGCUUAGAUUGGUCAAAAUAAAAAAAACUUCUGUUGAAGAGGAGUAUGCCUCUUUGCAUAAGAAGAAAGUCUUUGGUCCAAUUGUAGACACUCUAACAUCUCGCCUUGUGGGAUAUAAAAUGGUAUUAAUACACAAGCAAGAUGCUCAAGGCCAAAUAAUCCACUAUAAAGCUCAUCUUGUUGCUGAAGGAUUUACUCAACGAUUUGGCAUUGAUUAUGAAUCCACAUAUUCUCCAGUCAUGGAUUCAAUUACAUUUUGAUAUAUUAUUGGAAUGAUAGUUUAUGCCACCCUUGAGGUGCAUCUGAUGGAUGUAGUAACUUCAUAUCUAUAUGAUUCUCAUGAUGCAAAUAUUUAUAUAAAAGUUUCACUUGGCUUAGAAACACAAAUUCCAAAUCGACUCGUUUCAAGAAAAUAUUAUGGUAUUAAAUUAUGUAAGGCCUUGUAUGGUUUAAAAUAAUCUAGAUGCAUGUGGUAUCAAUAUCUUCGAGAUUAUUUAAUUACAAAUAAUUUUAUAAGUGAUCCACUUAUUCCUUGUUUGUUUAUCAAACGAGAUAAAAUUGGUUUUGUGAUCAUCGCUGUAAAUGUUGAUGAUCUUAAUCUAGUGGGCACUACAUCUCCAUGUGUUAUAGCUAGAAACCUACUUAUACGUGAAUUUGAAAUAAAAAUGCUAGGAAAAACAACUUUUUGUAUUGGUCUUCAGAUUAUGCAUCUAACACAUGAUAGCAUUUUUCUCUACCAACUAAUGUAUAUUAGAUGAAUCUUUCAAAGAUUUAAUAUGAUUGAUGCUCAUCUAUUUUCCACACCAAUGGUUGGACAUGGUUGUGAUGGUCAUGCUCUAUACUGUCCAUUUGAGGAGGAGGAAGAAAUAUUGGGAGAUCAAUAUCUAUACCUUGCAGCGGUUGGAGCACUUUUGUAUUUAGCUACAUCUACAAGAUCAGAUAUUACAUUUGCACUUAGUGUUCUUGCAAGACAUAGUGCACAUCCAUUACUAUGACAUUGGAAUGGCAUCAAACAUUUAUUACGUUAUUUAAAAGGUACUGAAGACUUGAGAUUAUACUACACACAAUCCGCAAAUCCAAAAUUGGUUGGAUAUUAUGAUACAAGAUAUAAAUUUGAUACUGCAAUAGCUAAAUCUCAAACAUGAUAUGUAUUUUUAAGACAUGGAACUGCAAUAUCAUGGAAAUCAGUGAAACAAACAAUAACUGCAACUUCAUUCAACCAUGUAGAAAUGAUUGCCUUACAUGAAGUAUCUCGAGAAUGUAUUUGGUUGCAAUCAAUUGACAAAUUCAUUCAAACAACCUGUGGAUUUUUAUAUGAUGAUUCUCCAACUAUUUUGCAUGAAGAUAAUAGUGCUUAUAUUACACAGAUGCAAGUUGGUUUCAUUAAAGGAGACAUGACAAAGCAUAUUGAUCCAAAGUAUUUUAGUUAUACCCAUGACUUGAUUACUGAUCAAGUACUUAUAAUUAAAAAAAUUGAAUCUAGAAAUAACCUUGCUGAUCUCUUCACCAAAGCUCUUUCAUUAAGCAACCAUCAUCGACUUACUUAUGGCAUUGGUAUGCGGCGACUUAUUUUUCUUGAAUAAGAAAGUUGAUGAGCUCUUUAAAUAAUUAAAGAAAAUGAUAUUGUACUCUUUUUCCUUCAUCUAUGGUUUUGUCCUUAAAUAAAAUAAGGUUUUUUUAGAUAAGGUUUUAAUGAGGCAACUAUUGUUAAUCUUGCAAGAUCAUAGAAAAAUAUAGAUCAUAAUUCUAUAUAAAUUUUAUAUUAUGUAAAUAUUAUGAUGAGCGAGGAGGAGUGUUGAGAUCAUUAAAUGUAGUCGACGCUCUCCAUAAAAUUUACUGUAGACUACAAUAAUUACUAUAGCUACAGUAUUUAGAGUCUAGUGGAGAAGUACUGUUUAUCUUCUUCUCUUUUCUCUUUUUGUAUACGAAACACAACCAGAUGAAUAGAUUUUUAUGUGUGAAGCUCUCUCUCCUUAUAAACCCUCUUGUAUGUAUGACUUACCACUACUCUUGUGUGUGUGUAUGACUUACUACUACUCUUGUGUGUGUGUAUGACUUACUACUACUCUUGUGUAUCUGUAUGACUUAUUAUCAUUCUUGUGUCUUUCUAAACGUUCUCAACAAUAUGCAAUAGUAGUGGAAGUAUUUGGAAAUAUACAAAUUUCACAUUAAUGCACGAUUGAAAUACAGGUGAAUUCUAUAACAGUAUUGGAAAAGGUGUUGCAUGUGGUAAGAAACAUGUACACUCUUCAUCAACAAGAUAGUACGCUUUGUUUGCUUAUAUGCAUGUUUGUAUCAUUAGUUGUCUUGGUAUUUACUCAUCAAAAGUAGAAUUUAUAGAAAUUGAUACAAUUUAAUUUAAAUAGUUUUUGCUAAAUAAAAAAUAUUGAAGUCAGUAAUAUAAUUCAUAUUUAUUUUGUAUAAUAUAUAUUAUAAAAUAUAACAUUAUAAUAUCAAAUUAAUUUAUUUAUGACCUAGAGCUUAGAUUUAGAUAUAAAAAGCAAAAACUUGAAUAUAUCUAAUCACAAGAGAAAUCUUACAAUUAGACAAUUAUAGACAAAAACCAUCAAAUUUAAGUUUCAUCCUACUAUCAAAUCCCACAUGUUAUUUGAACUUCAAAUAAUUUUUAAAAUUAUAAAUUUUAGUUCUUUAAGAAACAAGAACUUUAAUUUGUUUCGUAAAUUAUAACUUUGCAACAUAAUACAAGUUAAUACUUUCAAACCACGUUUGACAAACUCUACGAAAGAUUAAUAGUGAAAAAUUACUUGUAUUUAGAGAUACUUUUUGAAAUAUAAAGCUAUCUAAAUUGGUGAUAGGAAAUCAAGUAUUAAACAUUAUUUUUUAUAUCCUUCAACUAUUGGUAGAUUAUCUAUAUUUAUUUGAAUUAUAUAAUUUUGAUAUUAAUUUAUAAUUAAAAAAAUUUAUUUUAAAUUUAAUCAAUAAAUAAAUAAAAAAUCUUGACCUUUAUAUAUUGGAGUUAGGAUAUAAGUGUGUGAAUUCUAUCUAUAAAUUAAAAUAUUUGAUCUCAACAAAUAUGUCUACUUUACUAUUGACCUAAUAAAUUGACUAUUAGAAAUUACUAUCCUUUACUUUUGUUAUUGAAUCUUCUUGAAAAAUCAAAUAAUGCUAAGAUCUAUUUUAAGAUGGAUCCAUGAUGACCUCACAAUCUAGUAUAAAUUUAAAAUAAUAAAUAAAUAGAAGAUUACAUGUAAAUUUAAAAUGGCUAUUAUAAAUUCAAUGUUAUAUCUUUUGAACUUAUAAAUGCUCUAGUUUCAUUCUAAAAUUUGAUAAAAGACAUAUUUUUUGGAUUCUUAGAUAAUAAUUUUGUAUUAUUUGGAAAAUAUUUUUAAUAAAAAAUUUAUAGAAGAAUAUAUAAUUAAAAUAGAAUAUUUUAUUACACAUAUAAAAAAAAUUAUUAGUCAAGAAAGAAUAAUAUAUAUAUAUAUAUAUAUAUAUAUAUAUAUAUAUAUAUAUUACAUUCAUAUUUUUAAAAAUUAUUAUUUUUUUCUAAUUAUAAAUAUUAUAUGUGAUAUGAUGCUUUUGAAUUUUGAUUUGAUAGAAGAGCUUUACAAAAUAAUAAAGACAUAACAAAAUAAAAAUCAACGACAAUAAAAUGUUAAUACAAAUAUUUUAAGAAAAUAGCCAUUUUUAUUCAAAUUUAGUAAUAAGGCAUAAAUAUUCUAUUGUAGUACCAAAAUUGAUAAAUCAUAUAUAUACACACACAAUAAAGAAUAAAAUAUUAAAACUUCUUUGUAAUAUAGAGAAUAAAUUCUUGAUAGAUUUAGAUCAAAAGAUGUAAUUAUAAGAUUAUUAGAUAAAGUACUUAGGUUGUUUCAAUAUUUAUAACAUUGAAAUUAAAAUGUGGAUCUUCAAAAGAGAUACAUCAUUCUUUAAAUAAAUAACAUGAUACAACGUAUAUGUGCCAAGGAUAUGAAUUACAAACAAACAAAGAAUCAGUAUACUCUGGUAUCACUAGACAAGAUUAGAUAAGAAGGUUCAUGUGUUUAGAUUCUUCAAAUUAGAUAAAUAAUAAAUUUAUUCAAUACAUUAUCUAUCUAAUAUAUAUUAAAAUAAUAUAUAUAUAUAUAUAUAUAUAUAUAUUAGAUAUAUUUGAUAAAUUAAUUUAUUAUCUAAUUUAUUUAAUUUAUUAUAAUAGAUAGAUAUUAGAUUAAAAAGAUUAAUAUUUAAAAUUAGAUCCUUAAAAUUAGACUAUAUGUAAAAUAAAAUUGAUAAGAAUAAAGAAAGCUUCACUCUUGCCUUUAUAUAUACUAUCUACCUAAGAGCUAUAUUCUAUAGGAUCUCCAACACUUGUUCAAUUUGCAAGAUACAUGUCUUAACUUGUAAGGUAAGUUUUCUAAUAUGUAUACCAUAUUAUUAGCUUAUAUCAAAAGCUAACAACACAAGCGACAUGUGACUAACUUGUUGGCUAAGUGUUCAAUGUACAAAUCACCUAUAGACAUGUAUAAAGGUGAAACCACAUCUAUAAAGCUUCUAGAAAGCUUCUUUAAAAGAUAUUGUCAAAUUAAUUUAUUUUUACUUACUUCUACUUAUUUAUAUAUUUAAAUAACUAUUAGAAUAAAUAUAUAUAUAUAUAUAUAUAUAUAUAUAUGUAUAUGCCAUAAAGUAAGAAAAAAAUUAAAUAACUGAGAUUUUAUCUAAUGAUAAUUCGAUUAUAUGAUUAAGAAUUUGAAACACUCUAAGACACAUAAAUAAUAUAUAGAAUGUCUUGAAGGAAUCACAAGGCUUUAGUCUUUUUAUCUUACCUACUUUCAAGAAAUUAUGAUUUAUAUAGAAAAUAUAUAUAUAUAUAUAUAUAUAUAUAUAUAUAUAUAUAUAAUUUUCUAUUAUUUACGAAUAAAAUUAAUUUUUUCUAUUAAAUCAAGUUUUUUUAAUAUUUAACAUCAUAAUGGUUUUUUAAAUACAUCAAGUUAGUCUAAGGACCUCAAUGGGCCUUCACAUCAUGUUCUAUUUCUUUAUAAUAACAUCUAAAAGUUGUUAAAUCCUUUCAAUAAAAAUUCCAAUAUAUCUUUUCAAAAUCACUAAAUAAACUCUAAUUUAUUUUUAAUCAUAUUUAAAUAAUUAUUUUAUAUUAAUCCUUCUUUAUUAUAUUAUGAUAAUAUUAUAAAAAAUAUAAUUUUUAUUUUAAAUAGAUUUACAUAAAAAUAAAUUUAUUAAAAAAUAAAAAAAAGUAUUUAUUUUUAUUAAAUAAUAUAAAUUAAUAACUAUCAAUUAUUAUUACAAAUAAAAGACUAAUAUAUAUGUAUUAUAGAAAAGAAUUAGUUUAUAAAGUUUUAAUUAAUUAUUAAAAAUUCUUGGACUUUGAGGAUUAAUUAUCAAAAAAAUAAUUUUACAUGCUUAAAUAUACUCUUUAUUAUUAUUCACUUCUAUAGGAAGAGAUAGGACUUGUCUUCUUCUUGAUAUAUUCACAAUCUUGUAUAAUUCAAGAAGAGACACAUGGAAUACAUGAUAGAGCUUCAUUAAGUAAUUGGAUUGAUUUGUCUACAAAUAGGAAAAGGUCUAAACUUAUUGUAGUCCAACUUAUUAUAAAGACAAGUAAUCUUGAUAUUAUGAUGAAGUAACCAUACCUUGUCACCUACAUUGAAUUUUUAUUGUUCUUUUCAAUAGGCAUCUAUGUUGAUCUUUUGUCAUUCUUAAGCUUCGUUUAAUUGUGCCUUCAUUAUUGCAUACAGCUUUGUCAAACGAUUUGCCAAAUCUUCUGCAACAAGAUUAUUAACUUUUAAAAAAUCAAAAGUAUCAAGUUGUAAAAGCAUAAUUAGCAAAGAAAGGUGUUUGUUGCAUAGAAGAAUGCAUCGUAUUAUUGUAAGCAAACUCUGCUAAUAGUAAGAAGGUUGUCCAAUCAUCUUGUUGAUAAUUGAUUGUAUAACUUAAGUAUUGCUUUAAAACUUGAUUUAUGUACUUUUUUUGUCGAUUUAUUUGAGGAUGAAAGGUCAAAGAAAGCUUUGUGUCAAUCUUUAGAAUCUUAAAAAGAGUUCUCUAAAAUCUUGAUAUAAAUUAAAUUUUUCUAUCUGAUAUAAUAUCUUUUGGCAAUCCAUGAUAGUAAUAGAUGUUGUUGAAAAAAAACUUAGGCGUUUCUUCAAUUGUGAUAAAUUUUGUACAUAGUACAAAAUUUACUAUCUUAUUAAAACGAUCUACUAUGAUGAAUAUAAAAUCAUACAAACCUGUAAAUGGAUAUAGAUAAGAUAUUUGUGUAGGAAUAAUUAGAACCAUGGAAGAUUUUAGAAUUGGGGUUAGAUUAGUGGACCAAGUAGGAUCCAUUGUGGAACAUUCUAAAAAGAGUUUAGGGUGGUUAUUUAAGUAGAAUCCACUGUAGAACCUUCCAAAAAAGACUUAAGGUAAUUGUCUAGAUAGGGCCUAUUAUAGAACCUUCUAGAAGGAGUUUAAUGCAGUUAUCUAAGUGGGAUCUACUACUUAGGAAUAUUUUAGAAAGUCUAAGGUGGUAGAAAAAAAUAUAAAUAGGACUUGCUAUGGCCUUUUGGAGCAUCUAGCCAAGUAUGGCUUUGAAUCUUUUUUCUUAAUAGAAUUAGAUUUUGUAUCUUCUUAUUUUAUUAUGUUCUGUCUUAAUUUUGAUUCUUCAAUUUUGUAUUUUGUAUCUCAUUUCAUUUAAUUCUAUUCAACUUUUAUUCUAGUCUAAUUUAUCCUAUUUUAUGAUGAGAUUUUAUGUUGCUAUGGAUUAAAAAGGUCUUAGACACUUAAGAUAGAUUGAUCAUGUUUCAUUGGUAUGAAAGCGAGUAUUAAAUUGUUUACUUUUGAUAGUGUAUCAAUAAUCAUUAUCUAGUCUAAGAUGAAUUCUUAUAGUCACACUGGAUACUAUAUUGAAGCUACUAUGAGCUAUUCUUAAAAAAUCAACUAAGAGGUGAAAAGGCAUUAUAAAAGUGGAAUCCAGUGAAGAAAUUACAACAUGGAAAAUAUGGCAGAGGAAUCUCAGAUUGAGGCUCAAAUACAACACCUUUUAGGCGAGAUAGCUACUUUGUAAGUGCAAAUAGAAGCCUUGAUGACAUAGGAGUCAACAUUUGCUAGAUUGAAAUUGAAUAAGGCUAGUACAUACUUUGGGACUUUAUGACAAGAAGAAGUAUGUCAAUGGCUCUUCGAUAUGUGAUAAUACCUUUAACUAUCUAGGGCAAAUAUUAUUGGAGGAAUUAUAUAUGCAGUUGACCAUUUGAGAGAUGCAGCAGCCAUUUGAUGGCAACAUCGAGUUCAAAGCUUUGUAGAGAGGAUCGAUGCUAUAAAUUUUAGAAAUUAUAGAGCAAAAUCUAUAGCACAAAGUCCUAUGUUGUUAUCUAAUACUAUAGCACAAUAACCAAUGCUAAUGGAGAUUGAUGCCUUACAAGCAUUAUUGACACUAUAAAGACAACAAAUAUUGGUGCAAAAGAGAUUGUAUUUCUAUUGUCAAGAGCAAGGCCAUCAGAUCAGAGGUUGUCAAAAAUAUCAAAAUUUAAACACCAUCAAGACAAGGCAAAUUCACAACCUCGAAACUCAGCAAGUUGAUAAUGAGAUAGAGCACAAAAACGAGGCUUCUUAGUAAAGGUGCCAAGAGCCAAUACUCGGAAUAGCUACUAUCUCUUAGAGACAAAUAGCAUGGCCUUGGAUAACUAUAAAAAGAGGUGAUUAGUACAUCUAACAAGACUACUAAGAUGACAACCAUGUCAAGUGCUUGUAGAUUGUCACUCUAUGAAAAAUUGCAUCUCAAUUGAAAUUGCUGACUGACUUGGAAUUAAAAUUAAGGCAAUGAAAGGAGGAAGUAUAUAUCUUGUAGAUGAUCAAGAGAAAAUAUUAAGUGAGACAUGUGAAGAAUAAUCUUUGAGAUUGAUUGAUACCUAUAUCUUAAGAGAGAGGUUCAAGGUAAUAAAAUUGAGGUAUGCCAUGGCUAGAGAUGGAAAAUAAGCAAGUUAAUUGGAUAGCAAGCACAAUCUCUUUUAAAGAUGGUGGAAGCAAAGUGAUUCUUUACACCUUCAUAUCAAGUGAAAAAGAAAGACAAUCUACAUCCAAAGACUAACUUAUAGAGACGACCUUUAUGAAGAAGCAAAUACAACAUAAGCCAUCGAUAUAUAUGAUAGUUCUAAAUCUUACAUUAGUGGUGGACAAGACAACUAAAAGAGUAGAAUGGGCAGAGUAACUCAUAUGAUAAUAUUGAGAUGUCUUUUCAAUUGACCUACCUAGUAUUGUGCCUCCUGAUUGAGGUGGCCCUUUUCAAAUAGAACUAUUUUUUAGAGCCAAACUAGUAAGUUGACUAGUUUAUCAUCAAAAGAACUUGAAGAGCUGCAGAAGGCAUUGGAUGAAUUCUUAGAAAAAGGCCUUAUUUGAAAAAGCAUAUCACUAUAGAGAGCACUUUUAUUCUUUGCAUCUAAGAAGGAUGAUGAACUUUGCCUUUGCAUUGAUUAUCGAAGCCUCAAUAAGCAGACUGUUAAGAAUCCAUAUCCACUUCCACGCAUGGAUGAUCUUCUUGAUCAAAUUUGAAGUACGACCAUCUUUAGUAAAUUAGAUUUUUAGAGUGGUUAUUAGUAAAUACCUAUUCCAAAAAAAGAUGUAGAAAAGAAGGUAUUUUGUAUGUGCUAUAGACAUUUUAAAUGGCUAGUUUUAUCUUUUGGCCUUACUAAUAUUCUAGUCUCGUUUAUAAGUCACAUAAAAAGAUUUUUUUGGAAUGUUUUAAACAAGUAUGUAGUUGUCUUCAUUGAUGAUAUCUUCAUAUACAGUAAAAUCUUUGAAGAGCAUGAACAAUAUUUACAAGAAGUAUUGUGCUGACUAUAAGAUAGUUACUUCUAUUGUAAGCAAUCAAAAUAUGAACUUUAGAAGUCAAAAGUCACUUUUUUUGGACAUGUGGUAUCCUCCAAAGGCAUGUGUAUGGAAUUAGAUAAGAUGAAAGGAGUGGAAGAUUAGUCAACCUGCAAAGAUGCUUUUGAAGUCCUUUCAUUUUUAGGCCUUAUUAGAUAUUAUUAUUGUUUUGUUUGGCGAUUUACUCAUAUUGCUACUUCAUUGACAAACCUAUUAAAGAAGGGUGAUCCAUUUGAAUGGAAACUAGAGCAGUAAAGUGCCUUUGAUAAGUUGAACGAGGCACUCAUUAUUGUUCCAAUAUUAUAAUCAUAUGAUCCUUACCUUCCUUGUAUGCUUGACAUUGAUGCAUCUGACUUUGCUAUUGUAGGGAUCCUUUAACAAGACUUUGAUAAGGACCUUCAACUUGUAGCAUAUAAAUCAUGCAAGCUCAAAAGGACAGAGCACAAUUAGUCUGCAUGUGAUCAAAAGUAAUUAAUAUUAUACACACUACAAAGAUGUGGUGACACUAUGUGUUGGAGAAGCGAAUGGUUGUUUAGAGUAACCAUCGAUCUCUUGCUAUACGAUUUGCAUUUAGAAAAUAUAAAAUCACAAUAUUAUCAUUGAGAAGAACAAUUGUAGUUUUUUGAUAUUCAGCUUAAAUAUAAACAAGGACAAGAACAUAUUGUGUCAGACAGCUUAUCGCAGAGACUAGACUUGAAGAACAAAUCUAGAGACAAGGUAGAAGUUGUUACUAUUAGUAGUGUUAUUUCAAAUCUAACCAAAGAGGCAUAAUGGAAAGAAGCUAUGCAUUAGAAUAUUUAUUUCAAGAUGGUUAGUGAUUGACUGAAGGUGGACAAUAUAUAAUAUCAAGAUUAUAUUCUUAUUGAUGGCUUUUUUUAUUUCAAGAAGCAAAUUUAUGUAUCCAAUAAUGCUAUACUUUAGACAUGCAUACUUCAAGAGAGACAUGACAUUUGAAUAUCUAGACAUCUAAGAUAAGAAAAGACUCUAGAAUGAAUCUUAAGGAUAUGGUUUUGGAUAGGUUUGGAUUGUGAUGUUUGAGUCCAAAAAAUAUUACAUAUUUCUUAUUGUUCUUGAAAUCUUUCAAUCUAUAAUAAUUUGAAUCUUCUUUGGAUCCAUCAUAAGUUUUUUAUUGGAAAUGAUAUAUCCCAAGAAGUAAACUUGAGUAGUGUAGAAUAGACAUUUUUUUAACUUGGCGUACAAUCUUGCAUCUUCAAGUUUUUGUAAUAUAAAACAAAUAUGAACUUCAUACUCUUUUGUAUUUUUAAAAUAGAUUAAAAUGUUGUCUAUGUAACAAACAACAAAAUCAUCUAAAAACUCACAAAAAACAUCAUUCAUAAGAUGUUGAAAAGUAGCUCGUGCAUUUGUGAGUUUAAUAGGCAUGAUAUUAUAUUCAAAGUACUCAUACCUUGUUCAAAAUGUAGUCUUCCAUUCAUCUCUUUUUUAAUACAAACCAAGUUGUAUGCUCUUCAUAGAUCUAUUUUUGUAUAGAACUUAGUUUGAUUUAGUUGAUCAAGAAGUCUAGAUAUCAAAGAUAAAGGAUAUCUAUUCUUAAUGAUAAUCUUGUUGAAUCCUCGAUAAUCUACACACAUUUGUAGUGAUCCAUCUUUUUUCUUCACAAAUAAGAUAGAAGCUCUUACAAGAGAUUUCCAAUAGCAUAUGAAAUUCUUAACCAAGUUCAUGUCAAUGUAUUUCUUGAGUUCAGUCAACUCAUUUUGUGAUAAACUAUGGAUUGGAUCAAAUGGUGGCUGACUUCUCUCUUUAAAGUCAAUUGAAUAAUCAUAUGGAAAAUGCUCCAAGUGAAUACUUGCAUUCUUUUUUUCAAAAAUAUCUUAAAAAUCCUGAUAUUGAUUUGGAAUGCGACUUGAAGUCUUUCUGUUAUUAAAAAUGGAUGUAGCAUAAAUAACAAAAAGCAAUCCUUCUUUUGCAACAUGCAAGAAAGCUUUUUCACUUACAAGUAUAAGUUUGACUAUAUUAGAUUCAUGACUUUCUACAAAAUUCUUAAUAAUACUUUGAAGAAAGUUAAAUUUAUGAGAAAUCCAAUCUAUAAGAAGAUUAUACUUUUUUAGUCACAAUAAACCUAAAAUAAUUAGAUUAGAUGAAGAUCUUAUUACAUUAAAUAUUACUAUGCUAUUAUGAUCUUUAAUUGCUACAUCUAAAGGAACAAUCUCAUGUAUAAUAUCUCCAAAAGAUAGCAAAUGACCAUCUAUAAGUUCUACAUGUACAAUUUAAGUUUUCUUGACUAACAAUAUCUCUUAUUUUUUGACAAAAUCUUUGACUAUUUUAUAGAUUAAGGCUCAUGAACGUAACAAAGCUAAGACUUUGUGAUUUUUUUGUCAUAAAUAAAUUUCUAUUGUAAAACAAAAUAAAAGAUUUGAUGAGAGAAUAUAACCUUUACUAAGAAUUAUAUAAGAUUCUAACCACAUAAUCCCUAUUAUAGUUGGAGAAAGUCGUUUUCUAACACAUUGUCUUCUUUAGGAACCAUGCUUCUCAUUCUAUGAUUGUCUUGUUUCUUUGGACAAUAUUGAGCAGUGUAUUUAACUUCUCUAUAAUAUAAGCAUAAGCCUUCUUGACAUCGUCAACUCUUUUCUUACUUUUUAAGGGAAUUAAAACAUAUCAUAUCAAUUUGUAUUGGUUUUGGCAUUACUGAAUAAGUUUUUUAAAAAUUUAGGAACUCCUAUCAUUAUUUGAUUUGUUCCUUUGUAGCUAAGUCUUUCUUUUUAACAUCUUUCAAAUAAUUGAUUGUCAUAUGUAAUGGCUUGAGCAAAGCUAGUACUUCACCCAAUAGCAUUUCAUUCUACAAAAUUUUUGGCAUCCAAAAUUAACUAUGAGAUCUACAACAAAGAACUUUUUGCAAUAGUGGAUUCUUUUUAAGAAUGAAGUCAUCAUCUAAAAGGUACUUUCAGUCUAAUCACCAUAUAUAUAGAUCAUAAGAACCUCGAGUAUUUCCUAUCAGUACAUAUUUUGAAUCAUUGUUAGGAUCAUUGGAGCAUGUCUUUGUGAAGAUUCAAAUUCAAUAUCACUUAUCAGUCAAAAAAAUAGCAAGGUUUGUCUAAUUUUCUUUCUAAACAUUUUUAUCUUGUACUUAAAGAAGAAAAUAUAGAUUUUGAUCAAUAAAAGAUAAUUUUAUUAAAGCUAGAACAAUUUCAUCUUUGAAUAGUGAAAUCAACAUUAAUUAUUGAUUCAACUUUUCUUAAGCAAAUUCAAUCAAGUAUAUCAUGUUAUCCUCUUAUUUAUAAUAUGAAGAAUAGUUCUUUUAAGUCUCAUGAUACUUCCAAGUUUGAGUUCAAGAACAACCUACUUUAUUUUAAAUCAUGCCUAUAUGUUCCAAAAGGAGAAACAUGUUUACGUAUUCUUCAAGCAUGUCACGACUUUCCAGCAGCAUGACAUUUUGGAUACAACAAGACUUUAGAAUUAAUAUCCAAAGAUUUUUGGUGGCUUCAAAUAUAAAAGGUUGUAAGACUUUAUUCAAUCAUGUGACAUUUGCUCAAGGUCAAAAAAUCCUCGUCAUUGACCUUAUGGACUUUUCCAACCAUUAUCUAUUCAAGAACAACCAUGGUCUUUUAUUUCUAUGGAUUUUAUUAAGAAUCUUUUAAUUUGAGAUUUGUGAAAUUUUAUAUUUAUAAUAGUAGAUUAAUUUACCAAAGUGGCACAUUUUGUACCAUGUAUAAAAUCUAUCUCAAGUACAAAAAUUGCUUAGCUUUUCUUUGAUAAUAUCUAUAGAUAUCAUGGAUUGCCAAAAAAUAUUAUAUCGAAUAGGGUGACUUAAUUUGUAUCAAGAUUUUAGAGAUCCCUUUUUAAAAUUCUAAAAGUAGACAUGAAGCUUUCUUCGGCCUUUCAUCUUCAAACAGAUCGAUAGAUAGAGCUUGUAAACUAAGUUUUGGAAUAAUACUUAACAUGUACUAUCAAUUAUAAACAAGACAAUUGAACAAUCCUCUUGCUAUUGGCGGAGUUUGCUUAUAAUAAUAUGAUGUAUUUUUCUACACAACAAACACCUUUAUUUGCCAAUUAUGAUUAUCAUCUAUAACUUGAUAUUUUUUACUUUUCAAAAGUUAAUAAACUUGGAAAGAAGAUUUCCUAAAUCAUUUGUUAGAGCUACAUGCAACAAUGAAGACAUAAUUAAAGAAAGUUCAAGAAUGCCAAAAGACCAGCGCAGAUGCCUAUUGCAAGCAGCAACCAGAAUUCAAUAUAGAUGACAAGGUAUGGUUACUUCAUCCCAAUAUCAAGACUACUUGUCCUUGUGAUAAGUUGGACUAUUAUAGGUUGAAACUUUUUUUUAUUCGUAAAGAAGUCAAUCAUGUUGCUUAUCGAUUACAUCUAUCAAAGUCUAUAAAGAUCAUCAUGUAUUUUAUGUGUCUCUUCUUGAACCAUAUAAGAUAGUGAAUAUCUCAAGAAGAAGAUAAAUGACACCUCAUCUUGUAGAAGUGGAUAAUAAUCAAGACUUUAAAGUAGAAGAAGUCUUAGAUUUAAGAGGGCAUCAAAAUGGAUUAGAAUAACUUAUUCAUUGGCAUAGAUAUUAUAUUAGUAAAUGCACAUGGGAGCCAGCAAAGUAUCUUAUAAAUGCCACAAAGAGAGUUGAAGCUUUUCAUCGAUAACAUUCAUCAAAAUUAAGAUGAAGAAUAGCAAAUCUUUGCUAUAAAAGAAACAAGAUCAAAAGAAGAUAACAUUCUACUUUCUAUCUUUCUUUGUAGCUUCUAUAUAUUUGUGAUGCUAAGAAGAUAGAAAAUCAACAAUCAGCAAAUUCAAUUCAAGAGCUUUCAUUUGCAAACAUAUCAGAUGAGAUAUUUGAUUAUCACAACCUUAAAGAUAAUGAAAUUGAGAAAAAUAUGCUCAAGAAUAACAUGUCUUUCCUUGAAUAGAUGACAAGAUACAAAGUGUUUAGUAUCAUGACUUGAGAAGAGAGUCUUGAUGUUUGGUGAAUUUUAUUAGAGAUAGAAACAACUCUUGACGAUGAUCCAAAUGUUUUAUUUGAAGGAAGUUACGAAGGCCUCAACAAUGAUCAAAUAACAAGGUGGUCUUCUUACCAUAGUAUGGAAUACUAUCGAUGGCUGAGAGGACCUAUCAACCAUCUUCAAAGAGAACAAAGAGCAAAUUAUGUGGCAAAUACAAUUUGUCGCACCUUAAAUUUUUUCAACAUAUGAAGAUCGCUCCUCUUGAAACUUGUCCCUAGAAGGAUGGAUAAUAUCACGGAUAUACAUAGGUAGUCUAGUAAAUACCUAUAUGAUUAUAUAAGAAUAGGUAAAAAUAGAUAAAAGUAGAUUAAUUUUAUAAGACCUUCUAGAAAAGCUUCCUAAAAGCUUCAUAGAUGGUACUUUGACUUUAUAUAUGUUUGUAAUUGAUUGAUAGGUUAGAAACUUGAUCAAGAAGUUAGUCACAUAUUGGUAGCUUGCGAAACAAGCUAAUUAUGUGGCACACGUAUAAAAAAACUUGUCUUAUAAGUUAAAAUAUGUGUCUUACAAAGUCAACAUAUUUUGGAGGUCUUAUAGGACAGCGCCACAUAGCUCCUAGUGAAGAGUAUAUAUGGAGACAAGAGUGAAGCCUUCUUCACUCUUGUGAAUGCCUUUCUAGUCCUUAAACUUACUCCAAGUCUUUCUAGUCUUCUUAUUUUUGGCAAUAGCCAUUUCAAUUCAAUAUUAUAUCAUCUUUAAGUGAUUUUUUAGUUCUUUUCAAUGAUAUAUGAGUGUAUUAAAGAUUUUCUUUUCUCGAGAUUUAUAUCCUUGACACAAAGACAUGAAUUGAAAGAAGAUGUAUAAACUUGUGAAAUCCAUAUCAAAAGAAAAGUGACAAAAUAAAAAUAAAGAAGUAUGUAUAUUAAAUAGAAAUUGGAAUGGCUAUUACCAAAAGACAAAGAAACUAGAGAUUCUAGAAUUUACAUUAAAAGCAAGAAAAGAAUUGACAAGAGUGAAGAAAGCUUCAUUCUUGCUUCUAUAUAUACUAUUUAUCUAUAAACUAUGUGGCAACAUUCUAAAGGACCUACAACAUGUAUUGACUUUGUAGGACACAUGUCUUGACUUGCAAGAGAAAUUUCUUAUGUGUGCCACAUAAUUAGCUUGUUCUAUAAGCAACCAAUAUGUGUAAUAUGUAGCUAAUUUGUUGACCAAUUUUUUAACCUAAAAGUCAACUAUAGAUACCUAUAAAAUUAAAAUAGCAUCUAUAAAGCUUUUAGGAAGCUUCUUAAUAAAAUAUUAUAAAAAUAAUAUACUUUUACUUACUUUUUCUAAUUAUCUAGAUAAAUCCUAGAGUAAUUAUGUAUAUCCAUGACAAUAUGUUUAAUUUUUAUUCAUAUAUUUUUAUUGUAAUAUUUUUUGAUAAAUUAUUAUUUGAUUUUUUAUUUUAUUUUAAUUUUGAUAAAUAGGAUCUUAUAUUUUAUUAGCAUUAGAUGCAUCAACUUCUUUUUGGAAGUAAUAGAUUAAAAAGAUCAUUAAAAUGUGCUAGUAUACACUAAAAAAAUAAAAAUUACAAUUCAUACCAUACAACCAAAUAUAGAUGUUGGAUGGUAUUAAUAAAAUAUAUUAUGAAUUUAUUAUUUUGUCUAAUAAAUUAUAAUUUAUGAUUACAAAUAUUUAGAUGUUUUUUAGCACAAUUAAAAAAAUUGAGUAUUUUUUACUUAAAUUUACAUUACUAGGUUGAAAAUAAAUACAAGAGUCUUCAAAGAAAAUAGUAAUAAUUAUUUUGGAAAAAAAGAAAAGAAAAUCACAAAACACAAAACACAACUAUUACAAACAUCACAAAAUAAUCACUGUAAUCUAGAGCAUUAAUUUGCAAUAGUAAUUUAAUUAAUAACAUCAAAUAAAACACUGAAAAAGUUGCAUGACAUAAAAAGUGGUUAGACGUAUAUUUUAAACACAAAGCAGUGUUACAUGGAGGAUUUAAUAUUCCAGUUCAAUGCCAAUCGUUUUUUUGCUGAUAUUAUUGAGAGGUAAAGAGUUCACUGACACAUGUAAAGAAAUAGAAUAUGUGUUCUCGCAUGUUUAUCACGUGACCAAUUGACUCACUCUACCACCCCAACAGUAAAUUCAUAAAAAUAAAUAUAAAAUAUAUAUAUAUAUAUAUAUAUACAUCUCUCUCUCUUUCUAUAUAUAUAUAUAUAUAUAUAUAACUCCCAAUGGAAUGUGAAUGAAACAUUCCAUACUGCUGCAUCUAAUAUUUAUUUAAAUUUUAAUAUAUAAAAAGUAAAAAGAUGAGUAAUACUUUGGUGAAGUUACUUUAUACAGACUUCUGGUUGUUUCUCAUUUUCAUUUAUAAUUUUCCCAGCUAGCUUUAUGAUUUUCUAAUUAGAUCAUUGACCAGUAAGCUCACCCAAGAUUAGCUGGUAAGCUGACAAACUUAGGCUGGGUUUUCAAUGAUCCAAUUACUAUUUGGGCUAAACGCUUGUUUAAAGUGAACCAGUGUCCAAAACACAUGGGCUCAAAGUUUGCUCCAACUCAUGUCGAAUAUAGUGGAUAAAAGAAAAAGAAAUGAAGAUGCAAAAGAACAGAAACAAAGUAAAAAGAAUUUCCAUGUCACUUCGAAGAAACUGUCAAUUCAUUAAAGGCACUUUUUGUCCUGACACACAAUCCAGCCAUCAUCAAUCCAUCCGUCCAGUCAUUCUUUGCGGGAGGAUGACGAAUGAAAGAUAAUUAUGAAAUAUUGUGAAAAUUUUAUAUUUCUCCGGAUUUCUCUUGCAACAUAAUCUUCACAACUUUUCUCUUCUUAUUUUAACUUUUCAUCAACUUAUUCUCCAUUACUUAAUUAUACUGAAAUUGGAUUUUGAGUUUUUUCACAUAUGGAAUCACAAAUUUUUAAAGAAAAAAAUAAUUAUAGGUAAGAAUGAAUGAAUGAAUAUAUAUAUAUAUAUAUAUAUAUAUAUUUUUUUUGAUAUGAUUUUAGUUCAUAUAUUUCCCAGUGACUAUAUAUAUAUAUAUAUAUAUACAUUCGAAUCCUUCUAAGACCUUACAGGCUCAUUUGGUACCUACUCUUGAGUAGGAAGUCUUUUAUAAUUUCGAGCACAUGCUUAGUAGUCCAAACACCAAAUUCAUAUCAAAAUACAUAGUGUAACAAUUUUAUUUAAAAAUAAAUAAAUUACUGCACUGUUCAUUGUGCUGUACCCAAAGUUAAUGUACCAUUAAACCAUUUUGGUAAUUUAUCAUGAAACACAUAUUCAUCAACAAAUCAUAAUUAUUUAAUAAUCUUUAAAAGAUCUCAAAAUUUAAUAAUCUGUUUCAAAAUAAAAAAGUGUUGGUCUGUCUUUGUGUAGGCUUUUUGUAGACAUUUUGUGGUAUUUCGAAAUAUUAUUCAUGAGAUUAUGUUCUUACAAGCAACUGAAAAAGAUUUAUCUGCAUACAUUGUUGUUAUAUUUUAGUUUGCUAUCGUGAUUCCUAAAUUCAAACUAUAAAAUACAGUUUAUGUUAAAAUUGGUUACUUUGUGAAUAUAUAUAUAUAUAUAUAUAUACAUAUAUGUAUAUUUAAUUUAAACAAAUACCAAAUUAGAAUACUUUAAAUUAGCUAAUUAACUACAUUAUUGCCUCAAAGUAAAAUUCAAAAUGCGAAUAUUGUUACAUUUAUUAACAUAUACUCAUGUUUUACAUUGUUUUUUUAUUCAUUUUUAAAAAGCCAAGUCUAAUAAUUGUUUUUUGAAAGAUUUGCCAAACAAAAUAUUUGUAUGUAUGUACAGAUAGAGAAUUACACUAAUAUAAAAUUUAAAACUUGUUCCAUUGUUAUUGAGAGUUUCAUAAAAACAGUACAAGAGUGCACAAACAUAUUAUAAGUAACAGAUUGGUACAAAUAAGAAGAUGAAAAGCUUUAAAUUUUAGCCAAAACAUUAUAAGUAACUAUCAACCAAGAACAAAUUGUACAAUUUGUGUUUCUAGUAGAACAUGAUCCUAAUAUGCUAUACAUUCAUAAAUAAAUAUAUAUAUAUAUAUAUAUACACAUAUAUAUACACACGUAUAAAAAUACCUACAAAUAUAUAUAUAUAUAUAUAUAUACAUUCUAUAAGUAAAUGUUAAUUAAAGAUAGCCAACAUUGAACCCAUUGAAGAAUGUAACUUGUUAAGGGACUAUGUAUAUAUAUAUAUAUAUAUAUAUAUAUACAUAUACAUAAAUUAAAUAGGAUGAUAUAAAUUGAGGAUGAUACAAAUAUAAAUUAGCCAUGAAAUCAUCAAACCAUCAAUCAUCCAGCAAUCAAUUCAUCCAUUCACCCACUAACGGGCGUUGUCUUUGUUACAUCCAUCCAUCUAUCCAUCCAUCUAUCCAUUCAUCCAUCCUCGUGACCAUUCUCCCAUUCUUGUGCCCCCAGAACACUUCCCAUGCACUAUACCUACCUCCCUCCAUCGUCUUUAUAUUUAACGGUCUUUGAGGCAUCUUUAUCCCGUGUUUCUAUCGGGAGAGGCGUGUGCCGGCAGGCCCCAGGUGGGCACAACACAAGUGGAGUGGCGAGCAGCGACCAGCGAAUGGCAUUCAUAGGCCAGAGACACUGAAAAAAAAAAAAAAACAAAACAAAACAAAACAGAAAUAAAAUUAAAGAAAUGAACCCUCAACAACACAACACGAGAGAGGGGGACUGGAUGAAGCGAGAGAUCCAGCUGGAUAGAGCUCAACCGAAAUGAUGAUCACGUUGAAACCCAUCAUCUCCGGAAGUAUCCUGAAUCCAAGGAAUCGUAUUUAUAGUUGCAUUGCUACCAGUUUGUGCAAGUUGGAGCGGAGGGUAGAGGAGUUCAAUUCAAGGGUUUAAGGCCCUCGGUCGCUGCGCCAGCUCGAUGACGAUCCAACUGGGGACCCCGUGUGAAGUGCGGUGCAUCGCGGUCGCGUUGUUGCUAGGUUUGUUGUGCUGCUUCGACGUGGAUGCUGUGGCCACUGCGUCGGAUGCUGAGGCGAGUGAGUAUACGUGCUACCCGAGCGUGUUCGUGUUCGGGGACUCGAGGUCCGACGUGGGAGAAGUUCAAGCUUCCCUGCCUUUCAGCUUUCUCUCUGCGAGUCCUCCCUAUGGUUCGUCGUACUUUGGUCGGCCAGCCAGCCGGUUCUCCGACGGCAGACUAUCCAUCGACUUUCUUGGUACUGUUUCUCACCUCUCCUGGUGGUUUCCUUGAACAGAACUUUCCAGUGUUUCCAGGCUUGAAAUUUCUGCGGAUACACAAAUCUCAAUGUCGUAUGCGUGUGUUGCAGCUCAGGCGUUCAACAUCCCAUUUCUGAGCGCUUAUCUGCAAGGCAUAAAUUCCGACUUCAGGAAAGGUAUCAACUUCGCAGCAUCCAGUGGCAAUGCUCGGCCAGUGCAGUACAAGGGCGUGAUAUUCCACUUGCAGGCUCAGGUGCAGCAGUACAAAUGGGCCAAACAUCUUGCAUCUGAUGCCGGAGCCAUUGGAGAUGGCACGAUUUCGAAGGGCCCAGUGGCAAGUUCAUUCGAUCAAGGGUUACAUAUCAUCAACAUAGGCGAGAACGAUUACAGAAAGGGGUACUUUAACAACUUGUCCUAUGAGGAAGUGGCGAAGAGUAUACCCGACGUUGUUGGUAACAUCACCUUGGCGCUAGAAGUAAGUCUCGGAGCAAUGUUAACCUCAUAGCCCUCGCAGAAAAUCUAAGAGGGAUGAAGCAAAAUGAUUUCAUCUUACAUUGUAUGUGUGGUAGCGACGAUGACAGUUGUGGCUGGUUUCUGCCCGAAUCCUCAGUGCUGUUUAAUCACCGUGCAUGUUCUUGUGAAAGUACGUGUAAGCUAACCCGAGUGACUUCUUGGCGCUGCAGAAUCUGUACGAAAGCGGUGCAAGGAAAUUCCUCGUGUUCAAUAUACCCUCAGAAGGCUGCAAGGGUUUCCUAUUGGCCCAAUUUCCAGGCUCGUCUCCAGGGGACUACGAUCGGCUGGGCUGCCUGAGAGCAAUGAACAACAUAACCCAACAGCACAACGCCAGGCUGAAAUCCGCCGUCGAUGAUAUCAGAGGGAAGCAUCCCGAUGCACUGUUCAUGUUGGCUGAUGACUACGGGUUUAAUCUUGAUCUGAUCGAAAACCCGGAGAAAUAUGGUAUGCCUUGCUUCCAAAUACUGAAAAAGCAUAGUUUUUGCGAAUCGAAGUAGAGAUAGUGAGCCAGAGAGGGUGAUCAAAUGUUCACAAUUCUCACAUGUUUCGUGCCUCGAUGUUUAUGGCGAUACUCCGCAGGGUUCAAAUAUACUAUUCAGGCGUGCUGCGGAGUUCGUCCGACCCCUUACAACUACGAUCCCGCCAGGAGUUGCGGGCACCCGGACGCAACUGUGUGCUCCCAUCCUUCGGAGUACAUCAGCUGGGACGGCAUCCACCCCACCGAACACCAAAACCGUCUGCAAGCACUUGCCUUUCUGAGUGGGAGAUUCAUCGAUCCUCCCGGUGCUCUCGCCGGUCACUGCAAGCCGAAUUUCACUGACUUUAAAGAGCAGAUCCCCGUAGCCGAUCAGAGAUGAUUCCAAUGUGGUAGCCAAGUGCGCAUGCGUGUGGACAGAGCUUGCCAUGUACUUGGGCUGUGACUUCUUUGUGUUUUCGUCCGCGGAGUCGGUCAGCCUUUCUUAUUGUAUCCAUCGUUUUGUGACGCGUCACCGCUAUUCUUUGCUGAUCCUGGACGUUGUGUACCACUCUUGUCUCGAUGUUAGUGCACGCCAUGCAUCAGCCACAACUGAAUGAUGCGCCUUGCCAUUGCUCCAGGCGAGUGUUCCUCUUCAUUCAGUGUUGGAUGGUUUCUAGGCUGGUGCUUCUGUCCAUGGCCGGGUGAAGCUUUUCCUAAUCUAGGCUGAUUUAUUGUAACCUUAUUAUAAAUUUAGAAAAGGGACAUUAGAAAACAGAAAAUCGAUGAAAUCACGCAAACCGAAAGAGUUCGGAUGUGGAAAUGUGGAACAUGUCAUAAGGUUGGUAUCACGUGUUUUUGAGUGUGUUGAAUCUUUCGAUUUUCAAAGUG